UACGUAGGGGGCAAGCGUUAUCCGGAUUUACUGGGUGUAAAGGGGGCGCAGACGGCGAUGCAAGCCAGGAGUGAAAGCCCGGGGCCCAACCCCGGGACUGCUCUUGGAACUGCGUGGCUGGAGUGCAGGAGGGGCAGGCGGAAUUCGUGGUGUAGCGGUGAAAUGCUUAGAUAUCACGAAGAACCCCGAUUGCGAAGGCAGCCUGCCGCAGCGUUACUGACGCUGAAGCUCGAAAGCGCGGGUAUCGAACAGG
RNAcentral lists this ribosomal RNA (253 nucleotides) under uncultured Eubacteriales bacterium. RNAcentral describes it as "uncultured Clostridiales bacterium partial 16S ribosomal RNA". It matches the Rfam family "Bacterial small subunit ribosomal RNA", at positions 524 to 776 of the family's 1533-position model. Lineage: Bacteria; Bacillati; Bacillota; Clostridia; Eubacteriales. The record is from RNAcentral.